CCAACAGGGAUUGCCUCAGUAACGGCGAGUGAAGCGGCAACAGCUCAAAUUUGAAAUCUCCUUCGGGCGAGUUGUAAUUUGCAGAGGAUGCUUCGGGCGCGGCGCCUUCCAAGUCCCCUGGAACGGGGCGCCUUAGAGGGUGAGAGCCCCGUACGGUUGGACGCCAAGCCUGUGUGAAGCUCCUUCGACGAGUCGAGUAGUUUGGGAAUGCUGCUCAAAAUGGGAGGUAGACCCCUUCUAAAGCUAAAUACCGGCCAGAGACCGAUAGCGCACAAGUAGAGUGAUCGAAAGAUGAAAAGCACUUUGAAAAGAGGGUUAAAUAGCACGUGAAAUUGUUGAAAGGGAAGCGCUUGUGACCAGACUUGCGCCGGGGCGAUCAUCUAGCGUUCUCGCUGGUGCACUCGCCCCGGUUCAGGCCAGCGUCGAUUCGGAGGGGGGGACAAAGACGCCGGGAACGUGGCUCCUCGGAGUGUUAUAGCCCGGCGUGCAAUGCCCCCGUCUGGAUCGAGGUUCGCGCUCUGCAAGGACGCUGGCAUAAUGGUCAUCAGCGACCCGUCUUGAAACACGGACCAAGGAGUCGAGGUUCUGCGCGAGUGUUUGGGUGUCAAACCCGCACGCGUAAUGAAAGUGAACGUAGGUGAGAGCUUCGGCGCACCACCGACCGAUCCUGAUGUUCUCGGAUGGAUUUGAGUAAGAGCGUUGGGCCUCGGACCCGAAAGAUGGUGAACUAUGCUUGGAUAGGGUGAAGCCAGAGGAAACUCUGGUGGAGGCUCGCAGCGGUUCUGACGUGCAAAUCGAUCGUCAAAUCUGAGCAUGGGGGCGAAAGACUAAUCGAACCAU
This 840-nucleotide ribosomal RNA is filed under the name Brachydictyochaeta bulliformis. RNAcentral describes it as "partial large subunit ribosomal RNA". It matches the Rfam family "Eukaryotic large subunit ribosomal RNA", at positions 65 to 943 of the family's 3401-position model. Lineage: Eukaryota; Fungi; Ascomycota; Sordariomycetes; Chaetosphaeriales; Chaetosphaeriaceae. The record is from RNAcentral.